AAUGUUCCAUUCGCUUCCUGUUCUCACAGCUGUCCUCUGCCCAUUGCACUCACAGGUCUCUGAUGUUUUUUCAGUGAAUUAACUCCAAGAAUUUAAAAGAAAGAACAUUUCAAUAUGUUUUUCUGACAGGCCCUCCCAUGUCUGAACCUUCCUAGGCUGAAGGACUACAAGGCAUCUUCAUUGAUAUAAACUGCCGUCAUGAAAGAGGAGCAGCGAGUUGAGACCUUAAGCUGUUUUGUCAGAUUGUACUUUGGUAAUGGAUCUGUGGGUCUGCUGACAUGUUACCCAAAGGUGUCUUUUCAAAACAGUCAGUCAUGUUUCUUCUUACCUAAUUAUAGGGGCAUCUGUUUCAAAAUGCAACUAAUCCCUCCAGGUUUUGUAGGCUGAGGAAAGGGGCGGAAGGGGUCAGUUGGAACUUGUGCUCUUAUCCCUCUUGCAAGAUUAUUCCCUAAUAUUCACAAAAGUAUUUAGAGCAUUGACAAGUAUUUGCCUUGACAAGCCUGUGGAGAACUCGAUACACUCUUGUCUGCCUCAGAUAAACCAUUCCCUGAAAAAAGACAUCAGCAGAGCAUGGGAAGUUGUUUCACCUUGCUUUGAUUUAAAAAAAAAUACAAUUGGUAAUCUCCUUAAAAAUAUUGGCAAUCUAAUGCCUAUGGGAAUGAGCAAUUUCUGUAGUGCUGGUUAAACUGGUCUCUGCUCAGGUGGGCAUCGUGCAAACUCUUUCCAUGCAAAGAUUACGGGUCCUGUAACUCUGCUGGUAUACCAAAGCCAGCAUAGUAUAUGAAGUACGCUAUGGCAUGUUCUGGUGGUGGUGUAAGGGGAUCUGUACUCUAUUCAGCUCAUGCUCUUUCUCCUUCUCUUUCCCAUUCUGCCCUGUGUGAGGUCUCAUGACGCAUUUAGGAAGAAAAUUCUGCAGUAGGUCAGCAUAGGGAAUAGCAAACCAGGAGCGUGGAGCAAUGUAGUUUGCUGCCCUGCAAGAGAGAUUUGUGUGCAGCCUUCAGUUCUGAGCUAUUCCACCAUAGCAGCUUUGCUGACUCUUUAAAACAUGUAGCCCAAAUCUCUCACUUGUAUGACACUGUUCCAGAAAUCUCUUUUUAUCUUUCCAUCACUGACCACUGUUCCAGAACUACACUUCACAAAAGCUUCAACGCUGCGCUCAGAAUUCUGCUUGGAAGGGUAAAAUUAUCAUAUAUCCUCUAGACACUUGGUGCUGGAAGAAAGGCAAUAGCUCAGCUGGAAUCAAUAAAGCUUGCUGGUUUAUCACCAUCUCAGGACAUAGCUUCAGCUGCAGGCCCAUGCAUCUUCACUGAGCCACCUGAAUCCUGCACUGGGGCUCCUCGGUCAGCAGUCGGACACCUGAAAUCUCCCUGAGAACUCUUAAUCUUACACAAGGCAGUGAGCACCCUGCAUUUAUCACUGCAGAAUGGCAGAAGAGGGUUAGGAUGUUCACCCUGCAAGAAGCAAUUUGAUUCGAGGCUUACAAGGGAAAAAGAACCUCUGAAGUCUUGGUAGCAACUUUUUUGAUCUGCUUUGAGGGAUCAAAAAAACACAAGUGCUUCCCACCAUCUCCUGAAACACACUGCCUUUUACAGGCAAAGAUAACAGCAUCCUAUUAGAAAGGUGUGCCUUUGAAAGUUUACCAUAUUUAUUCUUACAGCGAUGAAAAAGGGAAGUACUCUAUCCUUGUUCUACAGCAGCAAGCAACUGAGAUGCCUGGGGAAAAUAUGCUGUUCAUCUACUUUCAGCUAAUGAAAAGCUGUGCAUCCCUUUUCAGUAAGCAUGCAGAAGAACAGGAAACAAGACUCGCUCUUCUCCAUUCUCACACUGACACUUGAGCCACCAGGACAUUUCUUCCUCGCUGCCGAGCCACCCUGCCUCUGUCUGUUCAGCAUUUAUAGCCAAGGGGACGUUUCCAAGGGCUCAGCACACGAAGCAAUAAAAUUGGCAAUUUGAA
This is a long non-coding RNA of Centrocercus urophasianus (Greater sage-grouse), 1954 nucleotides long. RefSeq lists it as uncharacterized. The transcript has 3 exons. The record is from RefSeq and is a predicted model, not a curated record. NCBI's taxonomy places the organism in Eukaryota, Metazoa, Chordata, Aves, Galliformes, Phasianidae.